GACGAACGCUGGCGGCGUGCUUAACACAUGCAAGUCGAACGGCAACACCCUGCUUUUGUGGGGUGCUCGAGUGGCGAACGGGUGAGUAAUACAUGAGUAACCUGCCCUUGACUUGGGGAUACCUUGAGAAAACUGGGGCUAAUCCCCGAUAGGAGCUCGUGCUGCAUGGUGGGGGUUGGGAAGUUUCGGCGGUUGGGGAUGGACUCGGGGGUUAUCAGCUUGUUGGGGGGGUAGUGGCUUCCCAAGGCUGUGACGGGUAGCCGGCCUGAGAGGGGGACCGGGCACAAUGGGCCUGAGAGACGGCCCAGAGUGCAACGUGAGGCAGUAGGGGGAAAUAUUGCACAGUGGGCGGAAGCGUGAGGAAGCGGCGCUGCGUUCGUGAAGCCGGCCUGCCGGGUGUAAACCGCUUGCGCCUGUGACGAAGCGUGAGUGACGGUAACGGGUAAAUAAGCACCGGCUAACUACGUG
Molecule: ribosomal RNA, 468 nt
Filed under: uncultured bacterium
Lineage: Bacteria
Description: partial 16S ribosomal RNA
Rfam family: Bacterial small subunit ribosomal RNA
Source: RNAcentral